RNAcentral lists this ribosomal RNA (493 nucleotides) under uncultured bacterium. Its description in RNAcentral is "partial 16S ribosomal RNA". It matches the Rfam family "Bacterial small subunit ribosomal RNA", at positions 28 to 507 of the family's 1533-position model. The record is from RNAcentral.
GACGAACGCUGGCGGCGUGCCUAACACAUGCAAGUUGAGCGACGAACCCGGGCUUGCCCUGGGGCGAAGCAGCGAACGGGUGAGUAACACGUGGGUAACCUACCCCGAUAACCGGGACAACCCGAGGAAACUCGGGCUAAUACCGGAUGUGCUCACUGGACUUCUUUUCAGUGCGUAAAGUAAGCUUCGGCCUCCGUAUCGGGAAGGGCCCCCGGCCCAUUAGUUUGUUGGUGAGGUAACGGCUCACGAAGACCGCGAUGGGUAGCUGGUCUGAGAGGACGGUCAGGCAGCCGGGGAGUGAGGCACGGCACAGACGCCUGCGGGAGGCAGCAGUGGGGAAUCUUGCGCGAUGCGGGAAAGCGUGACGCAGCAACGCCGCGGGGGGGCAGAAGGCCUUCGGGUGGUAAACCGAUUUCGGGAGGGACGAAGGUUCGGCGGUGUAUAGCCGUCCGGACUGACGGUACCUCCACAAGAAGCCCCGGCUAACUACGUG